Molecule: long non-coding RNA, 1481 nt
Filed under: Eutrema salsugineum
Lineage: Eukaryota; Viridiplantae; Streptophyta; Magnoliopsida; Brassicales; Brassicaceae
Description: long non-coding RNA (ESAL_LNC000091)
Source: RNAcentral
UGUAAUUGUAAAAAUAUAUAUCCAUUGCUUGAUUUUUUUUGUUGCUCAAUUGUAAAUAUUUCAUUGAGAUUGAGAAUAAUCAGGUGUUACAAAAUGCGUUAACAAAAUAUUCGACCUAAAAAAUUUGUCCCAUGGCAAAAAAUAAUAAAAAACAUGGAAGCAAAAUCAAUCAGUAUUAGAAUCGAUGCCAUAACUAAGAAGUCAUUGUCGUCAUUCCAGUAGCGAUAUAGAUCUUGAAAACUCGAGAAAAAGUGAAGCCGAGAAAUGAUUGGAGAAAAGCAAGAAGAAGGACUUAUACAAUACAAGUGGAAGCUGUCUUGGUAGCCCGAAGCGAGAAUUCCUCAAAUGAGUCAGAGGAGGCUCGAACAAUGACAGUCCUCAACAUCAAGCUUCGACGCUCAGCUGUUAAACCUAUUUCCAGUACUCAAUGGGACAUACUAACUAGCAAAGCUUAGAUACGGUACUCACUCAAACUAAGAUCCUCCCGAUGUCGGUGAGCAGAACCAAGCAACAACAACCUCUAAAAGCCUUACUACCUGUUCCGAAAGCAAAGUCAACAAGACACAACCCAAACUAGAAGCAAACUCAAUCAACCACCCAAAGCACAACACUUACUCCAAGAAGACAAGCAAAACACACGUCGGAGGAAAGAAGAGUCGCCACACCGACAGCUUUAGCGGAAACCAAAGCGAACAUCACAACGGCGGAGCUCUGAACACCACCAGAGGGUAGAAAACUUUGCAACCGGAGAUUCUCGGAAGACCCACAUCACCACCGGAACAAAUCGCCUCCGACUAGAACAAGCCAAGGGAAGAUGACAGAAAGCACCACAACACUAGAGCCACGAAGAAGUAACCGCCGAUCUGGACUGACGGCCUAGAGACCCAUCCUCGAGGACUCCAAAAGGCACCACCAACGAGAUCGAGACAGAAAACCUCCACCAUGAGUGAAUCUAGAAGGACCGACGAAGAGCAAAGCCAAACCCCCAAGGGAGACGUCGAAAGCAACACGCCGCCCGGGAAAAGCCACUGCACAAGCCAGAGACACACCACCAUGACCCAUGACGAGAACCUCACCAACGAAACUCACCGACAUACAGAGUCAAGCCGGAGAGGAAGUCGUCACAGAGGAGAGGAGCUUUGGAUUUAACGGGAGGCGACCCUCUCGCAGCUCGCGGCAAAGCUGCCAGAGCCGGAGAGGGAGGUCGACAAGAGGAAGCGGCUAAACCUAGAUCUAGUAUUGGGAGAAAAAAUAUCGUGCGCUAUCCAUUGCUUGAUUCACAUGUUACAUGAGUCACAAAGAACAAAUAACUUAAUUUUGCAAUUGUAUAAGGAGUAAGUUGGAUGGAAUUAUGAAUUGGAUUUUUAUUAACAAAAUUAAUCAAAAAUUUAGAUAUCGGAAAAUAUCGAUGGAUGUUUUAAACAACAAUAAUUGAUUUUAAUUCAAAGUUGAUUAUGUUAGAAGAUUGCACUAAUAAUUGG